RNAcentral lists this ribosomal RNA (279 nucleotides) under uncultured bacterium. RNAcentral describes it as "partial 16S ribosomal RNA". It matches the Rfam family "Bacterial small subunit ribosomal RNA", at positions 506 to 784 of the family's 1533-position model. The record is from RNAcentral.
UGCCAGCCGCCGCGGUAAUACGGAGGGGGUUAGCGUUGUUCGGAAUUACUGGGCGUAAAGCGUACGUAGGCGGAUUAAUAAGUUAGGCGUGAAAGCCCCGGGCUCAACCCGGGAACUGCGCUUAAGACUGGAAGACUAGAAAACGGAAGAGGGUAGUGGAAUUCCCAGUGUAGAGGUGAAAUUCGUAGAUAUUGGGAAGAACACCAGUGGCGAAAGCGGCUACCUGGUCCGAUUUUGACGCUGAGGCGCGAAAGCGUGGGGAGCAAACAGGAUUAGAUA